UACGUAGGGGGCGAGCGUUGUCCGGAAUUAUUGGGCGUAAAGAGCUUGUAGGCGGUUUGUCGCGUCUGCUGUGAAAAUCCGGGGCUCAACCCCGGACUUGCAGUGGGUACGGGCAGACUAGAGUGUGGUAGGGGAGACUGGAAUUCCUGGUGUAGCGGUGAAAUGCGCAGAUAUCAGGAGGAACACCGAUGGCGAAGGCAGGUCUCUGGGCAGUUACUGACGCUGAGGAGCGAAAGCAUGGGGAGCGAACAGGAUUAGAUACCCUA
This 266-nucleotide ribosomal RNA is filed under the name uncultured prokaryote. Its description in RNAcentral is "partial 16S ribosomal RNA". It matches the Rfam family "Bacterial small subunit ribosomal RNA", at positions 524 to 789 of the family's 1533-position model. The record is from RNAcentral.